UCGAGGAUCUUCGGCAAUGGGCGCAAGCCUGACCGAGCGACGCCGCGUGGGCGAUGAAGGCCUUCGGGUUGUAAAGCCCUUUAGUGGGGGAGGAAGGCGCAAGCUUGACCUAUCCCAAGAAUAAGCACGGGCUAAGUUCGUGCCAGCAGCCGCGGUAAGACGAACCGUGCGAACGUUGUUCGGAAUCACUGGGCUUAAAGGGCGCGUAGGCGGUCUGCCAAGUCAGGGGUGAAAGCCUCCAGCUUAACUGGAGAAGUGCCUUUGAUACUGGCGGACUCGAGUGAGGUAGGGGUAGUGGGAACUUCCGGUGGAGCGGUGAAAUGCGUUGAUAUCGGAAGGAACGCCGGUGGCGAAAGCGCACUACUGGACCUCUUCUGACGCUGAGGCGCGAAAGCCAGGGGAGCAAACGGGAUUAGAUACCCCCGUAGUCC
RNAcentral lists this ribosomal RNA (431 nucleotides) under uncultured bacterium. RNAcentral's name for it is "bacterial SSU rRNA". It matches the Rfam family "Bacterial small subunit ribosomal RNA", at positions 355 to 796 of the family's 1533-position model. The record is from RNAcentral.